Molecule: transfer RNA, 75 nt
Filed under: Maritimibacter sp. 55A14
Lineage: Bacteria; Pseudomonadati; Pseudomonadota; Alphaproteobacteria; Rhodobacterales; Roseobacteraceae
Also listed under: 1 other name
Description: tRNA-Phe
Rfam family: tRNA
About the family: Transfer RNA (tRNA) molecules are approximately 80 nucleotides in length. Their secondary structure includes four short double-helical elements and three loops (D, anti-codon, and T loops).
Source: RNAcentral
GCCCGGGUAGCUCAGUGGUAGAGCAGUGGAUUGAAAAUCCUCGUGUCGGUGGUUCGACUCCGCCCCCGGGCACCA